AUCCUAACCUGGCAGGGAAGAUACCAUGAUAAUGGAGAUUAUUUUCCCAGUGUGAGGCUCACACUUUGCAUUCCAGAGGGUGCGACUCCUGCAAUUUCCCCAACUGCAAAUACUAUGCAGUUGAGGAAACUCAACUGCAUAGUUUGUGGUAGGGGAGGACUGUGUUUGCACUCAACCCUG
RNAcentral lists this small nuclear RNA (180 nucleotides) under Vulpes vulpes (red fox). RNAcentral describes it as "U1 spliceosomal RNA (ENSVVUG00000009229.1)". It matches the Rfam family "U1 spliceosomal RNA". Rfam says of the family: U1 is a small nuclear RNA (snRNA) component of the spliceosome (involved in pre-mRNA splicing). Lineage: Eukaryota; Metazoa; Chordata; Mammalia; Carnivora; Canidae. The record is from RNAcentral.